RNAcentral lists this ribosomal RNA (398 nucleotides) under uncultured bacterium. RNAcentral describes it as "bacterial SSU rRNA". It matches the Rfam family "Bacterial small subunit ribosomal RNA", at positions 28 to 417 of the family's 1533-position model. The record is from RNAcentral.
GACGAACGCUGGCGGCGCGCUUAACACAUGCAAGUCGAGCGAGAACCAGGGCUUCGGCUCUGGGGACGGCGGCGAACGGGUGAGUAACACGUGAGUAAUCUGCCCUCGACACUGGGAUAGCCCGGGGAAACCCGGAUUAAUACCGGAUAGCCUUUCGAGCUCUCGGGCUCGUCAGAAAAGGAUGGCUUCGGCUUUCGGUUGAGGAUGAGCUUGCGGCGGAUUAGCUUGUUGGUGAGGUAACGGCUCACCAAGGCGACAAUCCGUAGCUGGUCUGAGAGGACGAUCAGCCACACUGGGACUGAGACACGGCCCACGACUCCUACGGGAGGCAGCAGUGGGGAAUCUUGCGCAAUGAGCGAAAGCUUGACGCAGCGACGCCGCGUGAGGGAAGAAGGCCU